UACGUAUGGUGCAAGCGUUAUCCGGAUUUACUGGGUGUAAAAGGAGCGCAGGCGGCACGGCAAGCCUGAUGUGAAAGCCCGCGGCCCAACCGCGGGACUGCAUUGGGAACUACCGGGCUGGAGUGCCGGAGAGGUAGGCGGAAUUCCUAGUGUAGCGGUGAAAUGCGUAGAUAUUAGGAGGAACACCAGUGGCGAAGGCGGCCUACUGGACGGUGACUGACGCUGAGGCUCGAAAGCGUGGGGAGCAAACAGG
RNAcentral lists this ribosomal RNA (253 nucleotides) under uncultured bacterium. RNAcentral describes it as "partial 16S ribosomal RNA". It matches the Rfam family "Bacterial small subunit ribosomal RNA", at positions 524 to 776 of the family's 1533-position model. The record is from RNAcentral.